RNAcentral lists this ribosomal RNA (335 nucleotides) under uncultured eukaryote. RNAcentral describes it as "partial 18S ribosomal RNA". It matches the Rfam family "Eukaryotic small subunit ribosomal RNA", at positions 1470 to 1796 of the family's 1831-position model. The record is from RNAcentral.
CCCUUAGAUGUUCGGGGCCGCACAUGCGCUACACUGAACGGAUCAGCGUGCGUUACGCCUGGCCCGAGAGGGCCGGGAAACCCGUUGAACCCCGUUCGUGCUAGGGAUUGGGGCUUGCAAUUGUUCCCCAUGAACGAGGAAUUCCCAGUAAGCGCGAGUCAUCAGCUCGUGUUGAUUACGUCCCUGCCCUUUGUACACACCGCCCGUCGCUACUACCGAUCGGUCCAGUUAAUGAGCUCUUCGGAUUGGUCCCGUAGGCGGGUCUUCGGGCCUGCUCUCGGCGUGCCGAGAAGAUGCGCAAAUUGACCGGACUAGAGGUCGUAAAAGUCGUAACA